GAUGAACGCUGGCGGCGUGCCUAAUACAUGCAAGUCGAGCGAACGGACGCGAAGCUUGCUUCUCUGAUGUUAGCGGCGGACGGGUGAGUAACACGUGGAUAACCUACCUAUAAGACUGGGAUAACUUCGGGAAACCGGAGCUAAUACCGGAUAAUAUUUUGAACCGCAUGGUUCAAAAGUGAAAGACGGUCUUGCUGUCACUUAUAGAUGGAUCCGCGCUGCAUUAGCUAGUUGGUAAGGUAACGGCUUACCAAGGCAACGAUGCAUAGCCGACCUGAGAGGGGGAUCGGCCACACUGGAACUGAGACACGGUCCAGACUCCUACGGGAGGCAGAAGUAGGGAAUCUUCCGCAAUGGGCGAAAGCCUGACGGAGCAACGCCGCGUGAGUGAUGAAGGUCUUCGGAUCGUAAAACGCUGUUAUUAGGGAAGAACAUAUGUGUAAGUAACUGUGCACAUCUUGACGGUACCUAAUCAGAAAGCAACGGCUAACUACGUG
Molecule: ribosomal RNA, 497 nt
Filed under: uncultured bacterium
Lineage: Bacteria
Description: partial 16S ribosomal RNA
Rfam family: Bacterial small subunit ribosomal RNA
Source: RNAcentral